Molecule: long non-coding RNA, 15775 nt
Filed under: Equus asinus (donkey)
Lineage: Eukaryota; Metazoa; Chordata; Mammalia; Perissodactyla; Equidae
Description: lncRNA (ENSEASG00005030413.1)
Source: RNAcentral
CAGCCUCUCAGCCACACAAACCAGGGAACAGACUCACCCUCCUGAGGAUUAACAGAACUAGAAAGAGAUUAGAGAGUCAGGUUAGAUAGAUUAAAGAAUAGGAACUGAAAGCUGAUGUCAGAAUGGAAUGCUUUAAUUAUUACUAUAAAAUAAGCUAUAUUAAUAAGUAUUAACAAUAAAGUAACUGUACCACACAAACAUGUUUGUUUCUCCUUCACUGACAGAUUACAGAUAGAAAGUGCUGUACAAAACACAUCCGCAAUUUCCAUAAGCACAUAUUUAAGUUCUGUAGCGCUAUUUAUCAAUCCUAAAACAAAUGAAGUUGUAAAGUAUGAAUCAAUUUCCGCUUUAUUAAACUACAGAGACAAGGUUUAAAAUAAAUUACAUUCUAGUGAGCGGCCCUUGGCCUUCCAGACGUGAACAAAGCAGUCGUUCUAGACCACUCAUCUUUGAACUUCUCCCUUCUCAAGCCCGUAAAGGAAAUGAACGCAUGCUCUCCCGCGCACACUUUUCCAUCGACACCUAUAAUGACUCGUCGUAAGUUUAAGCAGAUGCAAAGAAAGUGAUUUCCAAUGUACUGUAAAUCUUGACAUUUUGAAAUAAACCACUACUUUCUGAAAUGAAUCCGAUGGAAUCUAAAUGCCCGUCGUUACCCAUUUCAAUACUACGGAAACCAGCUCUUCAACAACAUUCCUUUUUUUCUUUUUGAACUUACACUUUCAUCCUACUUCCUCCAAAGAAGUUUAUUGGACAGUGGCCUCUUUUUAUGCUGACAGAUCUAUUCCUGACGAGCUGCUCAUUCUUCUUGACUACAAAAGUAUGUAUUUACUUCAAAACUUUGAACUUUACUGCCUAUGACCUUAAGGCUCUAAGUAUUCAAAAAACUUCUUUCGAUUGUGUUAGCAUUACAAUUACUAGCAGCACAGACUUGAUAAAAACAUGACAAAUUUUGAUCAAUUGAAAGUAAAAUUUUAGUGGAAAUUUAUGACUCACGCUUUUAAAAUCUAGUUGAAAGCAGAGAAUCGCAAACCACUCAACAGUGAUCCUCAAACCGGCAGCCGGCGAUUCACCCGCAGGCCCCAACCGUCAGGACCCAGGACCUGGGCUGCCAGAGGAAGAGCUUUCCUCCCAACGACGGUAUCUGUUUCAUGACCAAGAACUACCUCCAUUUUGCACCUCACGUAGGUGGGGAAAUUGGACAAAGCAUAUGGGGUGUCACCUCUAUCCUGGAUAGUCAGCUAACGCUGAUCCCCUGGAGAAGCCUUCACCCCUGGGGGUCCUCACACCCCCAGUUUGAAGAUCACUGUUCUCUCCACUUUGGUAUAUAUUUAAAUUUCCAUAUAGUAAGUAAACAUACAUAGAUACCUACAUAUAUAUUUUAUAUUUUUAUAUAUACAUACAUAUAUUAAUACACACACACACUGUCUCUCUCACACACACACACUCGGCCUGGUUCCACCACCAGAUUCUAAACAUAAAUUGGUCUGGGAUAGAGAUGGAUUUCAGUUUUUUCAAGUUCCCCGGCUGAUUCUAAAGUGCAGCCAAGGUUGAUAACGACUGGAUUAGGGCUAAAAUGAGAGAAAAAAAUAUUCCCCUCAAGCAGCAUAAUCAGUACAGACUCCUGCUACACUGGGACCAGCACCGUGGGCAGCGUCCGCAGGGCACGCUCUUUUUCUGUUACCCUUUGUGCUGGAAGGAGAAACCCUCGCCUCUGCCACGAAGAGUCCGGGAGCGGGAGCAGGGUGGGAACUUGGGGCGAGGAAGCACCCUGCCUCACGCAGAGAGCAAACUGACAGCUGGAGACUCGAAGGAGACGUGCUUUUUUUGCUUUUUUUGUUUCAUCAACUUUUUAAGAGACCCCACGCAACCACCAUAAGUGUGGCAUCGUUCCACUGUCUACUGCACUGCAGGGCCUUCUCUUCCUCUGUACACAACGUGUCUUGUUUUCCUCUGGCUGCUUUAAAGAGUUUUCUUUUCAUUAAUGGUGUUCAGCAGACAGAAAAACAAUAGAAAAAUAUCAACAAAACCAAAAGCUGGUUCUUUGAAAAGAUCAACAAAAUGCACAAGGUUUUAGCUAGACUCACCAAGGAAAAAAAGAGAGGACUCAAAUUACUUAAUGCAGGAAUAAAAGAGGACACUUACCAACCUUACAGAGAUGAAAAGAAAAAAGGAUUACAAGGGAAUACUAUGGACAACUGUAGCUCACGAAUUAGAUGAUUUAAAUAAAAGGAACAAAUUCCCAGGAACACACAAAAUGCUGAAACUGACAUAAAAAGAAAUGGAAAAUGUGACGUGGUCUAUAAUAAGUAAAGAGAUCACAUUAGUAACUUAAAAAUUUCCACAGAGAAAAGCCCAGGCCCAGAUGGCUUCACUGAUGAAUUUCACCAAACAUUCAGAGAAGAAUAUCAAUUCUUCACAAAUUGUCCCAAAAAACAGAAGAGUAUACACUUUCCAACCCAAUCUAUGAGGCCAGUAUUACCCUGACACCAAAUCAGACAAAGAUAACACAAGAAAAGAAACCAAAUAUCUCUAUUGCUUAUAAAUAUAGAGGUAAAAAUUCUCAACAAAUGCUAGGAAACCAAAUCUAGCAACAUAUAAAAAAGAUUAUACACCAUGGCCAAGUGAAAUUUAUCCCAGGAAUACAAGGUUGGUUUAACAUCUGAAAAUCAAUUAAUGUAAUAGACAACAGGAUAGGGUAAAGGGCGGGGAAAUAUGGUCAUUUCAACAAAUGCAGAAAAAGCAGGGAAAUUUCUCAGCAUGAUGAAGGACAUCUGUGAGAACUUCACAGCUAACGUCAUACUUAAUGGUAAACGACGGAACCCUUUCCCAAAAUGAGGAACACGCAAGGACGUCUGUUCUAGCCACUUCAUCACUGCGCUGGAGGUUCCGGUCAGGGCAAGAAAAAGAAGUAAGAGGCGUCCAGAUCAGAAAGGCAAGAAGUAAAACGGCCUCUAUUUGCUUUGGAAAGAUCUUAUACAGAAAACCCUAAGUAAUCCACACAGAUACACAAAUAUUAGACUAAUAAAGAGUUCAGUAAAGUUAUAGAAUACAAGAUUAACAUACAAAAAUAAAUUGUAUUUCUACACUCUAGCAAUGAACAUUCUGAAAACAAAAUUAAGAAAACAGUGCCAUAUACGAUACUAUCAAAAAAUAAAAUACCUAAGUACAACUUUAAGAAAAGAAGACUUAUACACUGAAAACUACAAAACGUUCAAAGAAAUUAAAGUUCUAAAUAAAUGGAGUGACACCCAUGUUCAUGGAUCAGAGGACUUGAUAUUGUUAAGAUGGUAAUUCUCUCCAAACUGCUGUACACAUUUACCACAGUCUCUACCAAAAUCCUGGCUUUUCUGCAGAAACUGACAAGUUGAUCUUAAAGGUCAUUUGCAAAUGCAAGGGACCCCAAAUAGCCCAAACAAUCUUGAGAAAGAAGAAUAAAGUUGGAGGACUCAUAGAUCGAUCCCUAUUUCAAAACGUACUGCAGAGCUACAGUGAUCAAGACAGUGUCACACUGGGUGUACAGCUAGACAUGUACAGAUCAACGGAACAGAACUGAGCAUCCAGAUAUCAACUCUUCCACGUGUGGGCAAUUGAUUUUUGACAAGGUGACAACACAAUUCAAUGAAACAAUAGUCUUUUCAACAAAUGGUGCUAGGACAACAGGAUAUCCAUAUGCAAAAACAAAGCUGGACUCCGUCUCAUACCAUAUACAAAAAUUAAUGCAAAAUAGAUCAAAGACCCAACUGUAAGAACUAAACUAUAAAACUCUCAGAAGAAAACAGAAGCAUAAAUCUUGAUGACCUUCAAUUAGGCAAUGGCUUCUCAGCUAUGACACCAGAGGCAAAAGUGACAAAACAAAAAAGAGAAAUUGGACUUCAUCAAUAUUAAAAACUUUUAUGUGCUUCAAAGGACACCAUUAAGAAAGGAAAAAGAACCCACAGAAUGGGAGAAAAUAUUUGCAAAUCAUAUUAUCUGAUAAAAGCCUAGUGUGCAGAAUAUAUAAAGAACUCUUACAACUCAAUAAGUAGUAAGACAACCCAACUAAAAAUGGGCGAAAGAUCUAAAUAGCUAUUUCUCCAAGGAAGAUAUACAGAUGGCCAAUAAGCACAUAAAAAGACGCUUAACAUCAUUAGCUAUCAAAAAAAAUGCAAAUACCACUUCACAACAACUAGGGUAGCUAGAAUGAAAAAAGUCAGAUAAAAUGACAGGUGUUGGUGAGGAUGGAGAGAAGUUGGAACACUCAUGCUGGUGGGAAUGUAAAAUGGUGCAGCCACUUUGGAAAAGAGUCUGGCAGUUCCCAAAAUAUUAAACAUAAAGUUAGCAUGACCCAGUAAUUCCACUCCUAGGUAUAUAUCCAAGAGAACUGAAAAACACAUUUCCAUACAAAAAUCUGUACCCAAAUAUUUAUAGCAGCAUUCUUCUUCUUUUUUUUUUAAGAUUUUAUUUUUUUCCUUUUUCUCCCCAAAGCUCCCUGGUACAUAGUUGUGUAUUCUUCGUUGUGAGUCCUUCUAGUUGUGGCAUGUGGGAUGCUGCCUCAGCGUGGUCUGAUGAGCAGUGCCAUGUCCGCGCCCAGGAUUCGAACCAACGAAACACUGGGCUGCCUGCAGCAGAGCGCGCAAACUUAACCACUCGGCCACGGGGCCAGCCCCAGCAGCAUUAUUCUUAAUAGUCAAAAGGAAACAACCCAAAUGUCCAUCAAUUGAUGAAAUAAAAUGUGGUAUAUCCAGACCAGGGAAUGUGAUUCAGCAAUAAAAAGAAAUGAAGUGCUGACACAUGCUACGACAUGGAUGAACCUUGAAAAUAUUAUACUAAGUGAAAGAAACUAGCCACAAAAUACCACGUUAUAUGACUUCACUUACAUGAAUUGUCCAAUAAGCAAAUCUACAGAGACAGACGUAGGUCAGGGGUUACUUAGGGCUGGGGGCUGCAGAAAUAGGGACAUGACAGCUAAAGGGCAUAGGCUUCCUUUUUGAAGUGAUGAAAAAUACUCUAAAAUUGACUGUGGUGAUUGGAGGGGUUUGUUUCAGGGAGGACAAAGCUGUUGUAAAGUUGAGUUGGAUGAGAGUUGCACAAGCCUAUGAACACUAAAAACAUCAACUUGUACACUUUACGUGCGUGAAUCGCAUGGCAUGUGAAUUAUAUCAUAAUAAAACAUUUUUCAUCAUUAUUUUUCAACUAUUUUCUCCUCCCUGCCCCCUCUGAGAUUCUAGUUAUUCAAAAUUAUAUUUCGUAAUAUUGCCCCACAGGUCACUGACGCUGUUCAUUCAUUUUUCAGUCUUUUUUUCUUUGUUUAGUUUUUGCUACACUUUCUAGUUCACUGAUCUUUUCAUCAGUGUCUAAUCUUCUUUUAAACCUUUCCAGUGAAUUAUUCAUAUAAGAUAUUGUAUUAUUUCAUUGCUAGAAGUUCCAUUUGGUUCUUUUUUUAUAUCUCCAAUUUCUCUCAUCAUGGUAUUUGUCCUUUUCUUUAAAUAUUUGAGCAUAUGUAUAAAAAUUGUUUUAAAAUCUUUGCUAAUUCCAUCAUUUUAGUCAUUUCUGGGUGGUUUCUAUUUAUUGGUUUUUCUCCUGGCUAUGGUCACAUUUUCCUGCUUCUUUCCAGGUGUAAGUUUUUACUGGAUCAACACGGUAAGCACUACACUGUGGAGUGAAUUUUCCUGUUUCCUUCAAAGGGUGUAAGACCGACUGUGAGGCAGAUAGGUUCCUCGUGAAUCAUGCUGAGCCCUCAAGGCUGUUGUUAAGCCUGUAGGUGAGUUUACGGCAGUCUUUACUCUGGGCUGGUUCAGCCCUGUGCCAAGGGGUGGCCUGUCCAGGGUCUCUGCUGAAUGCCCUGAAUGUGUGCCUCUCCACUCCGGCAGCUCAGGACACAAAUGCUUCCCAGCCUUUGAGCUCUGGGAAUCGUUCAGCUGACAAGUCCCCAUUCUUGGUCCAGCGUGAUGGAGUUUCAGCAGUAUACUUGAGGAACUCCUACAGAGACUUCUGGGGGUCUUCCUUUGCAUAGGUCCCUCCUCUCUGGUCAUCUGCCCUACACAUUCUAGCCACCUCUUUGAACUCCAGUUGGCCUCUUCAACUUAGUAAGACGACUGUGCUCUGCAUGGGAUGCCCCUCUCUGCACCUUAGUCUGGAAAGUGCCUCAUUAUGGAUGGAACUGUGUUCUCCCAAAAUUCAUAUGCUGAAGCCCCAAUCCUCAAUGUGACUAUAUUUGGAGACAGGGCCUUUAGGGAGGUAACUGAAGUGAAAACAGGUCUGAAGGUGCGACCCUAAUCCCAAAGGACUAGUAUCCUUAUAAGAAGAGGCACCAGAGAUCGAUCUCUCCCCAUAGGGGCACAGAAGGUAGGUCAUGUGACGACAUGGAGAGGACGGCCAGCUACAUGCCAGGAAGAGGCCUCGCCAGAAACCAACCCUGAGAGCACCUUGAUUUUGGCCUUCCAGUCUCCAGAACACGAGAACAUCAAUUUCUGUUGUUUAAGGCCCCAUCCGUGGUAUUCUGUUAGGGCAGCCAGGCUGACUAACACAGCCUCCAAGGAGAAUGCCUGGCCCACCGUAUGCAGGUCCUUGCUAUUUUCCUUUCUCUUGGGGACCAAGGUCCUGCACUGCCUGUUGUCCAAUUUCUGAACGUAGUUGUUUCACAUAUUUUGUCUACUUCUAACUGUUUAUUCAGAAGGUUGUUCGCCGGGUUUCAGUUACUCCAUCAUGGCCAGAAGCAGGAGUCCCUGUGCAGCAUGUUUUUAUCUUUUAACUAAAUGAUUUUCAGAAAUUUCUGAGAAGAGGAAAAGCUGGAGUCACAACCCCAUCCCAGGGACCCUUGAGAAACCUUCCGUCACUGCCCACUGCCUGGGGUGGGAGUGAGCGUCCUCUAUUCUCAGGCAGCCCAGCACAGUCCUGGCAAGAUUUCCGAUGCCAGCAAGACAGCACUGCUAGGUUUUACUCACACUUGUAGUGACAUGCCAUUCUCAUUGAGUCCAAGAGGGUAAUCAGUUUAAUUUCCAUCAUACAAUUUUCCUUGUAAUUAAUAAGAAAAAUUAAUCCCCUAAGUGCUCAGCACCCUUCCUGAAAUCAAUUCACACAGGGCCUAGAGUGUUGUCCCUGGAGACUAAAGCCUCGGUCACAUGCUGGACGGGGCCACAAAGGGCAAGGACGAUUUCUCAGAAAAACAAGACAGAGCAAUCACACCAAACAACUACGCACUUGAAUUACAGUGAAACUCAUGCUCUCAGGGCAAGAAGGCAGGCUCCUCAGCCAAUGAGCAGAAAACAGUUAUGAAGAGGACGCAGAUGAGACUCAAAGGUUAAAAGUUAAAUUGUAAACAUGAGACUUUAGAUUUAAGGAGGAUAAUUCUAAGGGAGUGUAAGUUUCAGAUGACACUGAACCCUAAAGUAAAACUCCAGAACUCUGACCACAAAAGCUGACACUGAUGUUUUGAAAUCGAAUAAAUUCUGUAUAUACAUCCAAAGUCAAAGAUGUCUGAAGAGUGAGAUGCUAUGAGGAUGCCAGAAUGUCUGACCACCUCUUCUCCCUCCACUCCCACCCGUAUAUCCUUACUGCAGCCAGAACCACCUCGGAAAACCCAAAUCCGGUGCUACUGCUCAUCUGCCCCAAAGCUUUCCUUGGCUGUCAUCUGGAGAAUGCAGCCCAAGCCUUCCACUCUCAAUGCCUCAACCACCUACCCACAAUCACCCACAUCACCCAUCGCUCCUGCCUCCCAGAUGCUCUAUGGUCCAGCCCCUCCCCCUACAGGAAUUCUCACAAAGACUCUGCCUGCAUCCCGUCCCCCGCCCCCGUUUACUGAGCAUCGUGUCUUCAGGUGCAGGCCACGGCCCCCACUCUCCUCCUGCAGCCCUCCUGGAGGCUUCUUUGCCAGGCCUUGGCCCAUUCUGCUUUAACAUUUGUGUGGUUCUCUCUCCUGCUCCGCUCUAAGCUCCCUGAACGCAGGAAUUGUUACAUAUCUUCCCGUGUGUUGCCCUCCAGCUUCCUAGCACAGCAACUUAUGCUUUCAAGAAACUAAACGGAAACAUUAUUCUGAAGUUGGAAAAUGCAAGAAUAGGAGUGACUGUCAAGUUACGGACUUGCUUGGCCCUCGGUGCAGACUCCAAAGCUAUUUCUCCCCUUCAAUCAGCCUAAGGAAAGGCGGAAGCCCAGAGGAUUACAACGCAGGCUAUUUUAAUUGUUGGAAGACAUUUCUGGACUCUACUGAUCUGGAUGUUAAUCAACUCUUACCACCCAACUCAUUAAUACAGAUGCCUCAGGGGGGAAAGAAAACCACCUAUGCCAAAGCCAGUCUUUCUUCCUUUUUUAAGUUAUAUUUCACAGCUGUUUCUGAUCACAGCUUCACUUUUCCACACAAGUUCCAAGGAAACAGGAACUUCCCUAGAACAAACUGUGAAGCCUCUUUCUGUACCCGUUCCGUCCUCUGGGGCAGCACAUUACCAGCGACAAGCCCUCAAGAUCCUCCUCUGACUUUUUUCCCUAAUCAAAGAAGGACUUAAUAAGAGCCAUUUCUUUGUUGGAUUGUUACAUUUGACAAUCCCACAAAAAUGUCCGCCACUUUUAAUUUAGUCUUUUUUCAAUAUUGGAAUGAAAAGCUUCCUCUUUAAAGGAAUUUUAAACAUUAAUAGGAAAAAACCACUCAGGGAGGUAAAAGAGACGCUUUGAAACCACAUCCAGCCUCCUUGAUAGCAAAUCCUUCAGGAUCGGCCAGGAAAGAAGAGCCGCCCUCUGCCACCCCUGGGCCAUCAGGCUGCGGCUCUGUUCCCCAGGGCCAGCUGGAGGCUGUGGUUACCAGGCUCCAUUCCAGGACCCCGAGAGGCCACUCUGCCCGGGCAUGGGUCCACUGACUGGUCUCUAUCUCCCAGUCUUUUCUUCUCCUUUCCCAGCACCCUCCUCAAGCUCUGCAAACCUAAACCGAGGGUUCUCAAUAGCAACCCUAUUAACAUUUUCGACCAGAUUCUUCUUUGACACGGGAAGCAGUCUUGGACAUUGUAGGAUAUUUUGCAGCAUCUCUGGCUCUACCCACUAGGUACCAAGAGCAACACACCAUUCCCUACCAGUCACAACAAUCAAAGAUGUCUCCUCUCUGGGGCCAGCAUGGUGGCACAGCAGUUAUGUACAUACGUCUGCUUCGGCAGCCUGUGGAUCCCGGCUGUGGACAUGGCACCGCUCAUCAAACCUUGCUGUGACGGGCGUCCCAUAUAUAAAAGAGAGGAAGAUGGGCACAGAUGUGAGCUCAGGGCCAGUCUUCCUCAGCAAAAAGAGGAGGAUUGGUAGCAGAUGUUAGCUCAGGGCUAGUCUUCCUCAAAAAAAAAAAGGUCUCCUCACCAAUGUCCUCCAGAGAGUAAAAGGCCCAGUUGAGAACCACUGUCUCAACUAACACAUUCAUCCUCCAGCCAUGUGUCCACAGGCAACGCUCACAGGACCGCCACUUCAGCCUUCCUCAAGCCUUUGGGAGCCUUCUGUCCUCAGCAUGUUCGUCAUUACUUUCCUCUGCACAGUAUUUAAUUAGUUUUUUGGUAUUGUAACUCUUUAUGUAACAUUUUAAAACUCAUAGCUAUGCUUCUCCUAUUAUCUUUCCAGAUGCAUCUUCUAGAUACAAAUUUCCUGGAACACGUCCUCUUCAGUCACUAAUAAUUUUUAAGCAUAGUGCUUUACUGCAGAUUAUCCACAAAGUCUAAGUUUAAAGGAAAUGGCUGUAGGGUAGAUUGCUUUGUUUCCUGAGAUAGUGUGUGCACACGCCCCGACACCCCCCAAGAGGAAUACGAUGCAAUGGAGGAGUUACACACCUCAGGAGAAAUGCAAUUUUCUGAAAUACGCAUUUUGCCUGAAGAUUUAGGAAGUUAUUAAGAAUAAUAAAACGAAGUUAUGUUAAAACCCACAUGAACAAUUUGGAGUGAAAUGAAUUUUUUGCAUGAAUUUCAAAAUAAGAGACACCAACAAAAUUGCAUUUUGCAAUGGGUCACGUCAAGCAUGGUCCCAGGCAGACUGAUGCCUCAGCAGAAGUGAUGGGAAGCCCCAGCUUAGUGGAAUGGAGCAUCUUCAUUAAAUUAAAACCACAAAACUUCAAGAGAACACAGGAGCCAAACUCCAGCUCAGAGGCAGGUGUGGUGUUUUUAAAGCCGUCUCAUGGGUGAGGUAACUGCCUUGCCUGGGGACUUGUCACUGGGAGUCUCUGCUACACGCUCUGCAAUUCAGGGUGAGAGGGGUCAGGAAACUGCAAUUCCUAAACCCACUUUUGGGGGAGGGUCUUUCCAGGUGGGGAAAUGGGCUGAGUCGACCUGCAGCUGGAACUUAGUUAUGCCAGGACAAGACUUUGUCGUGUAACCUCGCCCUCUCCUCUGGGGUCUCCUGUACUCCCUUGCCUUUUUUUUCAGUUUAGUUGAUUUGACAAAUUCCAGUCCAUCCUAGCUAACGUAAAAGUAAACCAACAGUUGUGCAGUGAACCCGAGCUUACAUUUUCACGUUGGCUUUGCUACUGUCUCUUCUCUUCACACCAGAGCACCUGACAAAGCCCUCUUUGCUUUACCCUCCCCUCCUCCUAGACCUACCAAGGCGGCAGGAUUGUUUUCUUGUUUCAGCAUUGUCGCAAGCUAUAGAAUCAAGGGCAAGAUACUUAACCUCUUGUGGUCUUUUCUUUAGAGUACAGAGAUAGAUCGCAAAUCUCUCACAACACCACAUGUUCAUAUAUCUGUAUAACAUGUUAUAGAAUUUUACUGGCAGAACCACAUUUAUAAACAACCUACUGUUUAAAUACAUUAUAUAUUUUAAUACCUUAAAAAUAGUGUCUCAUCUCUAGAUCUUAUGGGCUACUAAAAGAUAAAAUCCAGCAGCAGUUUCUAAUACACUUCAAAAAAUGUUUAGGGGAAAAUGUCAUCAGCACACUUUCGUGCAAACAGACCUGCUCUUAGCAACUCGAGUAACAACAAACAAAGGAGCAAUAAUUGUUUUCUUCUCCAGUAAGAGUUGCUAAUACACAAAGUAAAUGACUAGAGCCAGGGCCCAAGGGAGUGUUGGUAGCAACCUGCGGUGCAGGUUCUAACACUUUUCUUUAUUAACCAGGCCAAGUGACCCAAUGUUGGCUCUAUCCACUCCAGAUGACUCCCAAAUAGCUAAGCAUUGAUCUAAGCAGCUUGUAACCACAGAGCCACAAACUUAAACAAUUAUGAUCCUGAAUAGGAAGAAGGUUGGGUGGAGAGAGUAAAGUCAAUAAUUAGAGGAAAGGAAGGGUUAACACAUGACAAAAUUAGUAGAGUGGCUAUCAAGGGUGAAACAGAAUCCAGAGGAGUGUGACCGAAAUUGUACAAGAGUACUUUUCUGGGACUUUAUCCAUGCUCUCACCCCCCCAGCCCCACGCAGUCUUCUCCCCAUUAUGGUGGAGGCACUGGAGAAACGGGGCCAACUUAGAUGGAGAGUUCUGAUAAUCACAUCUGAAUCCCUGAGGCCAAUUCUGCACCAGACUUCUCACUGACACACACCGAUAAAUCCUUCACUUUUGGCGGGACUGACUUGUUCAGAUGGGUUUCUCUAGUGAUUUAAAGAGUUCUAUUAUGGUUACUACAGAACAACUGAAACUAUGCAUUUUGUCUACUCAGAAUUAUAAGAAUUUAGAUAGAUUUGUUUUACGUGAAAAUCGCGAUCAGCUGUCACUAUAAAACAUAAGCAUAAUGUAGGCUUGUUGCCUGCUUUAUUCUGAGAAAAUCUAGCAAUUCAAAUCAGUUAUUUUAUACUCAAAGAUUCAACAUUUCGUUUUAAAAUAUCCAUCUAAAAAUUUUUUAAAUACUAACCAACAAAGAAUAAUGUGUUGCAUUGAUAAAAUAGAUUAACUGGGACAAUUAAGUCCUCAAUUUGUUUUCUCCUCUCUCACCUCAUUCUGUUUCUCUCCUCUUCCGAGUUCCCAUUUUCCUGAAUUCUUGUUCUUAGUAAGUCACUCUAUAAACGUGAAGCAAAUGUGCAGAAUUUCCUUCUGCUCCACGAUCUACAUUUUCUUCCAGGUUGAGUCGUAGUCUUUUGCUUUCUGCUCCAUGGUACAGCACUUCUCAGAUAGACCACAGACGGACAGCACCAGCGUUAUCUGGAAGCUUGGCUGAAACGCAAAUUACUGGGUCCCAUCUUAGACCAACUGAACCAGAACCUCUAGGGAUGGGACCCAGGAAUUUGUCCCAAUGACUCUCAGAACACGGAAGUUUUAAAACCAGGCUGUAGGACGGCUGCACGGCUGAGGUUGUUUCUUCACUCUGCUCAGGCUUAACACAGGCAACAGAAGGCACCCUGUAAGGCUUCAGGGAGGAGGGGUGCCUUAACGCUCUUCCCACCAUAGCUGAAACUAGCUUAGAUUUUUCUUCAAGAUACAGUUCAGAGCUGGGUCUAUUUCUAUCUGCUUUUCUGAAGCCUAGGGAAAAGGAGCCAGGGACCAUAAAGGGAAAGGCCUAUCUGAACUCUGUUCUCUCCUCUGAGAUUGUUAAAUUGUCUACACCAGUCAAGAGGAAAAGCCUUCAUUUUAUUUCUCUCCAAAUUCGGGGAUGUUAGUAUGACUUUCUCAGGAACUGUCAAGGUUGGGGGCAAAGAUGGACAACGAUGGGAACCACUCCUCUCUGCGCCCCCAGCAGAGAGUACAUCACAGAGCUGGGGACAGUUAGGUGACACUGAAGCACACGCGGACAUGAGGCUCAAGGAGUUAAGGGCCAAGAGGGAGAUCUGAGUGCCAGUGAGGAGGGGCGACACGGGGUGUCAGCACUGGUUGGUUUAAGCAUCUAUUAGAAAGUAAAUAUAUUAUUUGAUGACAACAAUUUUACAACAUAAAAUUUCCUAAAUACAGUUAUCAUAUAAAGUGCUCUAGCACAGAUUUAAUUCCACAAAGGAGGGGUUCCUUUCACAUCAGCUUAAUAAAAGUUUAUUUUAACAAUGCUAGGGAGGUAAAGCCCCAAACUUUACAAUUCCUCACAUUUCUCUCAAAAGAUUUAAAAAAAACCUUAGUAUUAGAUAUCAAAUCAUGCUUAAAAAUUGUGUAGGCUAUUUUAAAAAUCUGAAUUAUUUAAAAUUAUGACAAUGAUAAAAUGCCAACCAAUUGAGGUCCCAAACUAAAAACAUUCAAAACAAGAAAGAAUCAUCAUUUGGACUCUGUUAUGUUUUCAGAGUGGUAAAGGGUGACCAACUCCUGUUGCCACAACGCUAAGUGCCGGAAGUAAACAAUGCAUUUAUAAUCUGAAAGCAAAUUUAUCUUGCACAUCUUGAUACUGACGUAUAAAGCCAUGUUUCGCCAACUUUUUUAUUAACAUAACAAAUAAUUUCUUCCACAAUAGCAACUGCAAUAAAACUCCAAUAACAUUAGCCAACUUGCUGUCAUGUUCUAUGGUCUUCUAAGUAAUACAGCACACAGACAUUUAUAAACUACAGAGCCACAUCAAUUUGUAAGCAACGAAUAAAUUUUGAAAUGUUAGGAAUAUAGUAAAACUACAUUCUAAAUAGUUUUGUUUUAACUUUCCCUUUUUCCUUAAAUUUUCUUUUUUAUAUUCAUGCUUCCCACUAAUUUUUUCACUAGACUCAAUUAAAUCCUAGAUUUAAAUAUGGCCAAAGAGAAAUCAACAAUAUUGGGAUGAGUGUCAACAAAACAGCUUUUAUCAGAGUCUAAGCCACUUAAAGUUAUUCUCCAAAAGAAAACUUAUUCACCCCAGGCAUACAUGGAAAAAGCUAGCCUCGAGUUUCAGGUUCACCAUGGCUGACCUGUCAGAUAUCAGGGAACGUCCAAGGCUCAAGGCUGGAAGGGCUAAAUGCCAAAGGCUGUCACCAGUGGAACGUCCCUCAGCUGAAGAAAACACCUGACACACUGGGCAAUGUGUCCAACCUGCAGAAGACAGGAGUCUGCACUGGCACCAAUCGAGUUAACAAGGUUGAAGCCCUAGUCACAGGUAACAAAGUGUUACCACGCUUGAAUAAUAACCUCUAAGGAACUUCCAGCUUACACUGCACGGACUCUCGCCACUGCAUGAACUCAGGGAACAGCUGCGCAGUCUUUAGGAGAAGGACAAGCCGGUGAAUCAAUUCUCUGCAGUGACUGAUUAGACUGACUUCCUGUCAGCUGGAGACUAUAGUAUGUUCACAAUCAUGAUCAUUACGACAUGCAGUCAACACAUACACGGUGACACAGCAAGUACACAGUGGUGGACCCAGUGCUGAAUUAUCUCCUAACUGUCCCUCAAAUCCCUGUACUGCCAGUAAAAAAUCUACACCGACCACUUCUAGUCCUAUAUGGAAGCUGAAGUAUGACUGUUGCUAUAUGACUGAUUUUCUACAUUGUGGUCCUAUUUCUGCUAAAGUACUCUUAUAGUCUUUAUCAACUGAAAUUGUUUUUUUUUAAACUAUCUUUACAGAACUCUGAAAGAUAGUAAAUUCACUGAAUAAAAAUUUUUUCAAUUUUCUUCCUCAAAUAUAAUAAAAUUGAUAUAUGUUAGACAAGUUAUCUCCAUUCUCCUAAUAUUAAUGUUGUAAUGAGGUUCCACUGAACUUCCCUUAGUGAGGCAAGUUUCAAUUAUCCUAAAAAUGGUAAAUGAUCUAUUAUUUGUGUGUGAAUCUAAAGUGCGUCCCUUAUCAAAUUAUUUAUCUGCAGGUCAAAAACAAAAAUUUAGGCAGACUGUUAAAUAUAAUGUUAACAGGUACGCUGGGCAAAUAACUCAAACUUUUUAUUUAACUUCCAUCUGCUUAGUUUUUUAUUGAGUUAAGUAUAAAGGCCAAGUUAAUCAACUCAUUAGACUGGUCAAGGCAAGACACUUGAACUACAUAAGGAUUUAAAAAGCGGUUGGUCUUUUAGUAAUUCUCUAGUAAUCACACACGCACACACACACAUACACACAAACUGGUAGAGUACUCUGGAUAUAAGAUUUCCCCCCAUAAUCUUGUAUAAUGCACUGUUCACAAUCUGCAGUAUUUUGAAAACUAUAUAAAUUUGACAUGACCAAAUUAAAGAUGUCUGAUAAACUCUUAUAAAGUAUUUUGGGAACUUCAGGUGUAAUCCCCAGAUGAUUGAUUUUAAACUAUAAAAAGGGAAAAUUCAUAUAAAAUCACAACAGAUUUAACAGACAUCUUUGAAAAGAAAUCAAAUUGUAACUCAAUUUUCUACUUUUUAAACUAUGACUAAGAAAAAAGGUAGAAGUCGCAAUGUCUACAUUUUUUAAAAACUAUUAACUGAGUGGAUUUGGGGAAGACAAAGAAAAGCUAUACAGUAUUAUUGCACUCCACGAAUGUGCAGAAUUCCAAAAUGUGCCAGCACUGAAAAACUGUCUUGCAUUGAGGUUUUCCAAGAGGUACAACGAGCCUGCCAAGAAAGCAUCGGGUCUGUACUAACAGCUUGCUGUCUUCAGUACAGGCCUUCAUACUGUCAGCCACGCUGCUCUUGCAAAAGUCCCUUAAUGUCUGAAAGAGACACAGAAAAAAGAAAGUUUUAUUUCAAAAUCUACUCUUGUAAAAUCAACUCAUCGAUCAGAACAUCUCUGCUAAGCAGAAGUUAACUAACGCUCACUUCUCCAGGUUCACACAUUUGCUUAUAAAUUUUCCAUCUUGAGCUGUUAAAAAGACUUUGCACACUCUUAGGAACUAGUUACUUGAUGGCAAGGAGAAGCUACGUAUAUAAACAUCCUAGCACAAUAUACCAAUUCUGGCCAUUAAGAGUUCACAGCCAAAAAGUGAUGUUACAGGCCCAGUUACUAAGCCUUGAAGAUAAAAUUAUUAGCACAAUCUCACUUCAUUUUGGCAGGUCCAAACUCUCUUGAUCAAUUAUAAAUUUUAAUGAACAAAACAUCCA